Cornus florida is the source of this 3783-nucleotide long non-coding RNA. RefSeq lists it as uncharacterized. The record is from RefSeq and is a predicted model, not a curated record. The transcript is spliced from 3 exons. Lineage: Eukaryota; Viridiplantae; Streptophyta; Magnoliopsida; Cornales; Cornaceae.
GCAGAGUAGCAGGCACCACACUUGGAAAAGCCGAGAAAGACGAGAAGAGAGAACAGCAUGACAAUUGACAAAGUAGUAGGAGAAGCUCUUCUCAGCGGAAUACAACACCACCUCCACCACCGCCUCUGCCGCGUCUCCGAUCUCCAGUCUUGGCGGGCUCGGGCAGCGGCGGAGAGCCCAAGAAGGGCUGCGAGAAGAAAAGGCUCGACGAGGUUGGUUUAGUCUUUGACGGACAACUUGGAAUAAGAAAGGAAGCUCAAGCUUAGUGGAGUCAUUAACCAGGUCAUGCAAAGAGACCAAUAGUCGUAUUUCUAUUGGUCUCUUUCUCCAUCUCUCAGAUCCGAGGGCAAUAAUCAAUCAGAACCUCUACAAUUUGACAAUCAAUUUAUUCAUGCAAGUAGCUCACCAGUCAUUCUCCAGAAGAAACAGCAUAACCGGAAAGUGAAGAGAGAGCCCAAGAUGUCACUGAUCAGCCAAGUACUACUUGUGGUCAAGAAAUCCAAGAAACAGCCAACCCUCUCCCAUUGCAUGAAGCUCAAACAAUGGUCAGUGCUCCUCAGUGUGCUUUUGAUGAUACAAGCGAGAGCUACCAAUCAAGUGGCACAAACCAGAGUCUAGCCCUGAUUGUCCGAGCAAUAAUGAACAAGCACGGGGAUAUUGCAAAAGAUUGCCCACUAAAGUCUGGGUAGAGCUGACUGAACUCAACAGCAGACACUUGUAUGGCUAUUUGAGAGCAAGAAGAGUUUACUUGGAUAAUCUAUUUGGACUGUUUCAUUCCUUUUGUUUCUGGCUCUUUAGCCAGUUCGUUGUUGCUCUGUUCUGUUUGGUUGGUGAUUAAAAAAAAUAAAGGUUUACGCUACUCCUACCCAUCAAGCAAUCUUCAAGAAACAUGGGUUUAUAUUUGAAGUGGCUUUAAUGAAUUUGUGGACAUGAUACAUUUGAUUUAAAAAUGCAAAAACUUAUAACAGAUAUGAAGCAGAACAUGGAAUUGGUUGAUGCAACCAAGAAAAGGAAAAAACAAUGGUCAGUGGUCCUCCUCAGUGUGCUUUUGAUUGAUGAUACAAGCAACAGUUACCAAUCUAGUGGCACAACUGUGAACAGAGUCUAGCCCCGAUCCUCCGAGCAACAAUCAACAAGCACGGGGAUAUUGCAAAGAUUGUCCACUAAUGUCCGGAUAGAACUGACUGAACUCAACAGCAACCACUUGUAUGGCUAUUUGAGAGCGAGAAGAGUUUACUCAGAUAAUCUAUGGUAUUAUAUGAUUGUUUUAUAUGGAUUUAACUUCCAAUAUCUUCAUUCAACUGUCAGUGAUUUUUUGGGGGUUGAUAUCUUCAGUGUCAUCAUGGAUUGUUUACCACAUUAUUUGUAUUAAAAUCGGGGUAAGAGCAUCUGCACAUUUUUUCAGUCAAACACUGGGAAAUGAUCUUUGUUCUAGUGCGACAAAUCAAGAGAAUCAAUAUUCGUAAAGAGACAGUUGCUCCUCGAUCAAUCUGGCAAGUCUAUUCAAUCAUAUUUCAAACUAGUGUGCAAGUAACAAGCAACAAUGGAUAACCAUAUGCCUUAGGUUGGCCUAUUAAGGUUGCCUAUUUGUUCAUGGAGGCUGCUGUGGUUACAGAUGAUAUGCAAUUGCUGCUUCAAUGGGGUCUUAGAGAAAAAUGUUGAAGUCAUGAAUAUUUUGGUCCUCCAUCCUAAAAGGCUUCACAUGAAGUUGCCCAAGGAUUCUCAAUAUAUUAUGACUUGAAAAUCUACUAUUGCACUGUGAAAGAGGCUGAAAACAUGGGUUUAAAUUUGAAGUGGCUUUAAAGAAUUUGUGGAGAUGAUACAUUUGAUUUUAAAAUGCAAAAACUUAUAACAGAUAUGAAGCAGAACAUGGAACUGGUUGAAAAAUAAAAAAGAUAUGGACUUGAAGAAAGUUGGGAUUGAAAGUAGUAGAUUCAUGAAGUAGAGGGUCUAUUGAGAUGGGAGACUUUGGAGGUUGAAAAGUGGAAUUGUGCCAUCAGACUGGCAGGCAGAUUCUGAUCUCUAAACUUUCUCUGGUGGGUGACAUUUUUGAUAGACAAAGAAACAGUCCUUAUGAGCGUCCUCAUCUCAUGAAUCAUCACUAGUCACAAAUUUCUCUCCUUUCCUGAUCAGGGUGUGCAAGUGAAGCUCUUCGUUGAUGACAUCUGUAAAAUGGGAAAACUUGAAGGUUUGAGGUAUACUUUUUGAGAUGAUUGCUUCACGUUGAAGGUGAGUUCUUCUUGCUAUGUUUGAGAAUUUUGAUAUGGUUAAGUAAUAAUCCUUGUCAUAGGGGAAUAACUGUAUGCUUGAAAAAAAAAUUUAACUAAAUAAAUCAAAUUAUGAACUCCUGGAAGAUAUCCUAUGUGGCUAUGCCAAACUUCCAAUUUUCCGAUUUAAAUUAACAAAAAUGAGAUUCUUUGUUUUUUUCCCCUGUUCUUUUAUUGCAAUGUGUGUGUUGUUAUGUUUUGAUGACAUAUAAGAGGCUGUCAGAAGCCCAGCUUAGGCCUUGCACCAGGUAGAAUUUCGAAGGAUUUAAUGUUAUGCCCUCUCUAAUAGCUUAAGUUUUUAGAGUAUCCAGGUAAAGUAUUGAAAUCUUACGGUCACUUUCAUAAUUAAAAUUGAAACACGUGUGGGACCACAAAAGUGAUUCUGUGAUGUUGUGGCCCGAAUUUCGUGCCGGUUUGCGUUGUGAUCGCUCACGACCCGUUGGAUAAGCUUUGUGUGGGCCUAAGCCCAUCAAAGCUCUGGGGGUUAGGGGGUUCGGGCCCGAGGAAAAUUUUUGACCUGAUUUUUUGCUCAUGGGUUAUGGACCCUAAUUAGUCUCUUGUAACCCGAUAUAUUAGGGUGAUUAGGGUUUGGACUGGUGUAAGAGAAAGAAUUUAAAAUUCGUAUAGAAACAGAGUGGGGUUGAAAACUUGUAAUCUCCGAUUUUACAUAUAGUGAAACUUUCGCCGGCUCUUUUACAUAUAGUGAAACUUUCGCCGGCUCUUCAUCGUAAACGUAGGCUGCUGCUGAACCACAUAUAAAUUUUUAUGUUCUAUGUGUGGUGUGUUUAUUUUUCUGUCGUAAUUCUUGAUUCUAUCUUGGGUUCGCUGCGUUUGUUGUAACAGAUUUUUUGUAUGAUUUACUAAGAAUCAUCCGUGCACCAAUUCAUUGUUUAUUAGUUUUAUUUGAUACUAGGGACACCAAUGUUCAAUUAUUAUAAAGCUGAUGAUUGUUUACAGAACGUGGAAUUAUUGUUAACACUUCCUAAUUUGCACCAAUUGCAGUCGAUGACAAUAAUUGACAAAUUUGAUGUUGUUGGAAUUUUCCGGGUAAUUGUCUUUUUUAUAAUUUGUGAGAUCAAUUUGAUAUAGAUCCCGUGAUAAAUGGCUUACUUCUCUUUAGUCUUUACUGCCCUUAUAAAGAAAAUAACCUGCUACAUCUGGUUAAGGGGUGAUUCUACGUCACUGUAAAUUGAAUCAGUUUUUUUUUUUUUUUUUUUUUUUUUUUUUUUUUUUUUUUCGGGUAAAUAUUUUACAUGGCAUUUGGCAUGUCAAUACGGGAAAUUACUGGAUGGAAAUAUUAAAGUAAGUAAAUUGUUGAAAUCAUCACAUACCCUUAAAAUCAUAUGUGAAACACAAUGUUCUCAUUUGCAUUAGAUAUCUAAAGGGCCAAGUAAUUUUUGGUUCUAUCUAUGAGACUCAAAUUAGCAAAUGGGACUAACGUAUCCUAUAGAAGCCCAGGAUGGAUGAGGGGUAGGAGAUAUAGUUGGUACUUGACAGUGCUUACAUAGUUAUGUAU